This 481-nucleotide ribosomal RNA is filed under the name uncultured bacterium. Its description in RNAcentral is "partial 16S ribosomal RNA". It matches the Rfam family "Bacterial small subunit ribosomal RNA", at positions 28 to 507 of the family's 1533-position model. The record is from RNAcentral.
GACGAACGUUGGCGGCGUGCUUAAUACAUGCAAGUCAACUGAAGCAGUGGUAGCAAUAUCGCUGUGGAGGUGGCGCACGGGUGAGUAACACGUAGGUAAUCUGCCUUCAGGUCUGGCAUAACUCCGGGAAACCGGGGCUAAUAGCAGAUGAUGCAGCGGCUCGACAUCGAGACAGUUGUUAAAGCUAUGGCGCCUGAAGAUGAGCCUGCGCCUGAUUAGCUAGUUGGCGGGGUAACGGCCCACCAAGGCAACGAUCAGUAGCUGGUCUGAGAGGAUGAUCAGCCACACUGGAACUGAGACACGGUCCAGACUACUACGGGAGGCAGCAGUAAGGAAUAUUGCUCAAUGGGAGAAAUCCUGAAGCAGCAACGCCGCGUGAGGGACGAAGGGCUUUUGCUUGUAAACCUCUGUAGGGAGAGAAAAAAAUCACAAUCUUUGGGACAUGAUGGUAGCUCAAAAGUAAGCCCCGGCUAACUACGUG